Molecule: ribosomal RNA, 532 nt
Filed under: uncultured bacterium
Lineage: Bacteria
Description: bacterial SSU rRNA
Rfam family: Bacterial small subunit ribosomal RNA
Source: RNAcentral
ACUCAAUAGAUACCCAGGUAGUCCUGGCCUUAAACGAUGAUCACUAGGUGUAGGAGGCUUCGACCCCUUCUGCGCCGCCGCUAACGCAUUAAGUGAUCCGCCUGGGGAGUACGGCCGCAAGGUUAAAACUCAAAGGAAUUGACGGGGGCCCGCACAAGCAGUGGAGCAUGUGGUUUAAUUCGAUGCUACGCGAAAAACCUUACCAGGGUUUGACAUCCCGGUGAAACCCCAUAGAAAUAUGGGGCCCCUUCGGGCACCGGUGACAGGUGGUGCAUGGUUGUCGUCAGCUCGUGCCGUGAGGUGUUGGAUUAAGUUCCGCAACGAGCGCAACCCUCGUUGCUAGUUGCCAUCAUUAAGUUGGGCACUCUAGCGAGACUGCCAGCGUCAAGCUGGAGGAAGGUGGGGAUGACGUCAAAUCAUCAUGCCCCUUACAUCCUGGGCUACACACGUGCUACAAUGGCCGGUACAACAGGUUGCUACCUCGCGAGAGGAUGCGAAUCCCCAAAGCCGGUCUCAGUUCGGAUUGCAGGCU